AGCGGCGAACGGGUGAGUAACACGUGGGUGAUCUGCCUUGCACUUCGGGAUAAGCCUGGGAAACUGGGUCUAAUACCGGAUAUGACCACGGGAUGCAUGUCUUGUGGUGGAAAGAUUUAUCGGUGCGAGAUGGGCCCGCGGCCUAUCAGCUUGUUGGUGAGGUAACGGCUCACCAAGGCGACGACGGGUAGCCGACCUGAGAGGGUGACCGGCCACACUGGGACUGAGACACGGCCCAGACUCCUACGGGAGGCAGCAGUGGGGAAUAUUGCACAAUGGGCGAAAGCCUGAUGCAGCGACGCCGCGUGCGGGAUGACGGCCUUCGGGUUGUAAACCGCUUUUGACAGGGACGAAGCGCAAGUGACUGUACCUGUAGAAUAAGGACCGGCCAACUACGUGCCAGCAGCCGCGGUAAUACGUAGGGUCCGAGCGUUGUCCGGAAUUACUGGGCGUAAAGAGCUUGUAGGCGGUUCGUCACGUCGUUUGUGAAAACUUGGGGCUCAACCUUAAGCUUGCAGGCGAUACGGGCGGACUAGAGUACUUCAGGGGAGACUGGAAUUCCUGGUGUAGCGGUGAAAUGCGCAGAUAUCAGGAGGAACACCGGUGGCGAAGGCGGGUCUCUGGGAAGUAACUGACGCUGAGAAGCGAAAGCAUGGGUAGCAAACAGGAUUAGAUACCCUGGUAGUCCAUGCCGUAAACGGUGGGUACUAGGUGUGGGGCUCCUUCCACGGACUCCGUGCCGUAGCUAACGCAUUAAGUACCCCGCCUGGGGAGUACGGCCGCAAGGCUAAAACUCAAAGAAAUUGACGGGGGCCCGCACAAGCGGCGGAGCAUGUGGAUUAAUUCGAUGCAACGCGAAGAACCUUACCUGGGUUUGACAUACACCGGAAACCUGCAGAGAUGUAGGCCCCCUUGUGGUCGGUGUACAGGUGGUGCAUGGCUGUCGUCAGCUCGUGUCGUGAGAUGUUGGGUUAAGUCCCGCAACGAGCGCAACCCUUAUCUUAUGUUGCCAGCGCGUAAUGGCGGGGACUCGUGAGAGACUGCCGGGGUCAACUCGGAGGAAGGUGGGGACGACGUCAAGUCAUCAUGCCCCUUAUGUCCAGGGCUUCACACAUGCUACAAUGGCCGGUACAGAGGGCUGCGAUACCGCGAGGUGGAGCGAAUCCCUUAAAGCCGGUCUCAGUUCGGAUCGGGGUCUGCAACUCGACCCCGUGAAGUUGGAGUCGCUAGUAAUCGCAGAUCAGCAACGCUGCGGUGAAUACGUUCCCGGGCCUUGUACACACCGCCCGUCACGUCAUGAAAGUCGGUAACACCCGAAGCCGGUG
RNAcentral lists this ribosomal RNA (1325 nucleotides) under Nocardia sp. MH165. RNAcentral describes it as "bacterial SSU rRNA". It matches the Rfam family "Bacterial small subunit ribosomal RNA", at positions 94 to 1432 of the family's 1533-position model. Lineage: Bacteria; Bacillati; Actinomycetota; Actinomycetes; Mycobacteriales; Nocardiaceae. The record is from RNAcentral.